GUAUUCGGGUAAUCGAACGGAUGAAAAUCCGUUAGGAAAGUCCUUGCUAGCACAUGCUGAGAUGCAUGUAGUGUUUAUGCCUAAUGAAACCAUAAGUUAGGACACUUGGGAAAGUGAUGGCGGAGAUGAACCUGUCAAAUGGCGAUUCUUCAUAAAGUGCCACAGUGACGAAGUUCUCGGGAAACCGGGAAGUGAAACGGGUAAACCCCAUAAGCUAGAAACCCAAAUUAUGGUAGGGGAACCUUAAAUUCGGAAAUGAACGGAUUUAGGGCUAUCACAGCACGUGGUAGAGAUAAAUGAUUACCGCUUCCUUUGGAAGUACAGAACAAGGCUUACAGAA
RNAcentral lists this RNase P RNA (340 nucleotides) under Acholeplasmataceae bacterium. RNAcentral's name for it is "RNase P RNA component class B". It matches the Rfam family "Bacterial RNase P class B". From Rfam's summary of the family: Ribonuclease P (RNase P) is a ubiquitous endoribonuclease, found in archaea, bacteria and eukarya as well as chloroplasts and mitochondria. Its best characterised activity is the generation of mature 5'-ends of tRNAs by cleaving the 5'-leader elements of precursor-tRNAs. Cellular RNase Ps are ribonucleoproteins. The record is from RNAcentral. RNAcentral also lists the same sequence under 1 other name. Lineage: Bacteria; Bacillati; Mycoplasmatota; Mollicutes; Acholeplasmatales; Acholeplasmataceae.